CACGGCGGGGAUGCCUGAGCAAGUGCGAGUGUAGCGGCAAAAGCUCAAAUUUGAAAUCUGGCACCUUCGGUGUCCGAGUUGUAAUUUGAAGAAGGUAACUUUGGAGUUGGCUCUUGUCUAUGUUCCUUGGAACAGGACGUCACAGAGGGUGAGAAUCCCGUGC
RNAcentral lists this ribosomal RNA (163 nucleotides) under Debaryomyces hansenii. RNAcentral's name for it is "partial large subunit ribosomal RNA". It matches the Rfam family "Eukaryotic large subunit ribosomal RNA", at positions 66 to 226 of the family's 3401-position model. The record is from RNAcentral. Lineage: Eukaryota; Fungi; Ascomycota; Pichiomycetes; Serinales; Debaryomycetaceae.